Molecule: non-coding RNA, 28 nt
Organism: Pseudomonadales bacterium GWC1_66_9
Lineage: Bacteria; Pseudomonadati; Pseudomonadota; Gammaproteobacteria; Pseudomonadales
Source: Rfam
CUUCACUGCCGUGCAGGCAGCUCAGAAA